Molecule: ribosomal RNA, 1490 nt
Filed under: Salmonella enterica subsp. enterica serovar Montevideo
Lineage: Bacteria; Pseudomonadati; Pseudomonadota; Gammaproteobacteria; Enterobacterales; Enterobacteriaceae
Description: bacterial SSU rRNA
Rfam family: Bacterial small subunit ribosomal RNA
Source: RNAcentral
AACGGUAACAGGAAGCAGCUUGCUGCUUUGCUGACGAGUGGCGGACGGGUGAGUAAUGUCUGGGAAACUGCCUGAUGGAGGGGGAUAACUACUGGAAACGGUGGCUAAUACCGCAUAACGUCGCAAGACCAAAGAGGGGGACCUUCGGGCCUCUUGCCAUCAGAUGUGCCCAGAUGGGAUUAGCUUGUUGGUGAGGUAACGGCUCACCAAGGCGACGAUCCCUAGCUGGUCUGAGAGGAUGACCAGCCACACUGGAACUGAGACACGGUCCAGACUCCUACGGGAGGCAGCAGUGGGGAAUAUUGCACAAUGGGCGCAAGCCUGAUGCAGCCAUGCCGCGUGUAUGAAGAAGGCCUUCGGGUUGUAAAGUACUUUCAGCGGGGAGGAAGGUGUUGUGGUUAAUAACCGCAGCAAUUGACGUUACCCGCAGAAGAAGCACCGGCUAACUCCGUGCCAGCAGCCGCGGUAAUACGGAGGGUGCAAGCGUUAAUCGGAAUUACUGGGCGUAAAGCGCACGCAGGCGGUCUGUCAAGUCGGAUGUGAAAUCCCCGGGCUCAACCUGGGAACUGCAUUCGAAACUGGCAGGCUUGAGUCUUGUAGAGGGGGGUAGAAUUCCAGGUGUAGCGGUGAAAUGCGUAGAGAUCUGGAGGAAUACCGGUGGCGAAGGCGGCCCCCUGGACAAAGACUGACGCUCAGGUGCGAAAGCGUGGGGAGCAAACAGGAUUAGAUACCCUGGUAGUCCACGCCGUAAACGAUGUCUACUUGGAGGUUGUGCCCUUGAGGCGUGGCUUCCGGAGCUAACGCGUUAAGUAGACCGCCUGGGGAGUACGGCCGCAAGGUUAAAACUCAAAUGAAUUGACGGGGGCCCGCACAAGCGGUGGAGCAUGUGGUUUAAUUCGAUGCAACGCGAAGAACCUUACCUGGUCUUGACAUCCACGGAACUUUCCAGAGAUGGAUUGGUGCCUUCGGGAACCGUGAGACAGGUGCUGCAUGGCUGUCGUCAGCUCGUGUUGUGAAAUGUUGGGUUAAGUCCCGCAACGAGCGCAACCCUUAUCCUUUGUUGCCAGCGGUCCGGCCGGGAACUCAAAGGAGACUGCCAGUGAUAAACUGGAGGAAGGUGGGGAUGACGUCAAGUCAUCAUGGCCCUUACGACCAGGGCUACACACGUGCUACAAUGGCGCAUACAAAGAGAAGCGACCUCGCGAGAGCAAGCGGACCUCAUAAAGUGCGUCGUAGUCCGGAUUGGAGUCUGCAACUCGACUCCAUGAAGUCGGAAUCGCUAGUAAUCGUGGAUCAGAAUGCCACGGUGAAUACGUUCCCGGGCCUUGUACACACCGCCCGUCACACCAUGGGAGUGGGUUGCAAAAGAAGUAGGUAGCUUAACCUUCGGGAGGGCGCUUACCACUUUGUGAUUCAUGACUGGGGUGAAGUCGUAACAAGGUAACCGUAGGGGAACCUGCGGUUGGAUCACCUCCUUACCUUAAAGAAGC